RNAcentral lists this ribosomal RNA (466 nucleotides) under uncultured bacterium. RNAcentral describes it as "partial 16S ribosomal RNA". It matches the Rfam family "Bacterial small subunit ribosomal RNA", at positions 28 to 507 of the family's 1533-position model. The record is from RNAcentral.
GACGAACGCUGGCGGCGCGCCUAACACAUGCAAGUCGAACGAGCGAGAGAGAGCUUGCUUUCUCGAGCGAGUGGCGAACGGGUGAGUAACGCGUGAGGAACCUGCCUCAAAGAGGGGGACAACAGUUGGAAACGACUGCUAAUACCGCAUAAGCCCACGGCUCGGCAUCGAGCAGGGGGAAAAGGAGCAAUCCGCUUUGAGAUGGCCUCGCGUCCGAUUAGCUAGUUGGUGAGGUAACGGCCCACCAAGGCGACGAUCGGUAGCCGGACUGAGAGGUUGAACGGCCACAUUGGGACUGAGACACGGCCCAGACUCCUACGGGAGGCAGCAGUGGGGAAUAUUGCACAAUGGGGGAAACCCUGAUGCAGCGACGCCGCGUGGAGGAAGAAGGUCUUCGGAUUGUAAACUCCUGUUGUUGGGGAAGAUAAUGACGGUACCCAACAAGGAAGAGACGGCUAACUACGUG